AUUGGCGGCAUGCAGGGAGGAGCUAGUGUUAGCAGAACCCAGAGGCUGGACAGCUUGGCAGGAGCUAAAGCCAUAGCAGAAGCUAUGUUUAUAUGGAGUAAUUGGCUAAGAAGACUACAUAUUUCUAAAACUUUUCUAUCACCUCAAACAGAAACUCUAACCAAUUGAAGGCAAGACCCUCUUCCACCAGAAAAAAGAUUGUGACUCACUUUACUGUGAUACUGAGGCUUGGAUAGGACUUCGGCAUCCUGUUUGUAAACAAGAUACACUUUGGGGGAUUCUAACAUAGGUGAUCUGGAACCCCCUUUUGAGGCACGCUGAUGUAGAGAAACUGCACCUCCUUGUUCCAGUCUGAUUACCAUGCCAUCUUUUCAUGUCUUACUGCAAGAAGUUAUUUGUCACAGGAGAAACUGAGGGAAAGCAAAAACAUGGCUCAGAACUUGCUAUUCACUUUCACAGAGAAAUAAGGGAGGACCACUCGGAACAUCAGCUCCGCCAAGCCUAAUAAAAGGGGAACGUGCUUGUCAGUGGAGCAGAGCUGAGUUAAGGAUCCUGGUACUCCUCUCCCACUUGGCUUUUGUGAAUUCUGUCUCUCGCUGUAUGAAUCGGUUCUGAUAGUUGAAGGAUUUUACA
This is a long non-coding RNA of Molossus molossus (Pallas's mastiff bat), 633 nucleotides long. RefSeq lists it as uncharacterized. The transcript has 3 exons. The record is from RefSeq and is a predicted model, not a curated record. Lineage: Eukaryota; Metazoa; Chordata; Mammalia; Chiroptera; Molossidae.